GAUGAACGCUGGCGGCGUGCUUAACACAUGCAAGUCGAACGGGAUCCAUCAGGCUUUGCUUGGUGGUGAGAGUGGCGAACGGGUGAGUAAUGCGUGACCGACCUGCCCCAUACACCGGAAUAGCUCCUGGAAACGGGUGGUAAUGCCGGAUGCUCCGACUCCUCGCAUGGGGUGUCGGGAAAGAUUUCAUCGGUAUGGGAUGGGGUCGCGUCCUAUCAGGUAGUCGGCGGGGUAACGGCCCACCGAGCCUACGACGGGUAGCCGGCCUGAGAGGGCGACCGGCCACAUUGGGACUGAGAUACGGCCCAGACUCCUACGGGAGGCAGCAGUGGGGAAUAUUGCACAAUGGGCGCAAGCCUGAUGCAGCGACGCCGCGUGCGGGAUGACGGCCUUCGGGUUGUAAACCGCUUUUGAUCGGGAGCAAGCCUUCGGGUGAGUGUACCUUUCGAAUA
This 452-nucleotide ribosomal RNA is filed under the name uncultured bacterium. RNAcentral's name for it is "bacterial SSU rRNA". It matches the Rfam family "Bacterial small subunit ribosomal RNA", at positions 28 to 488 of the family's 1533-position model. The record is from RNAcentral.